This is a long non-coding RNA of Canis lupus familiaris (dog), 1434 nucleotides long. RefSeq lists it as uncharacterized. The transcript is spliced from 5 exons. The record is from RefSeq and is a predicted model, not a curated record. Lineage: Eukaryota; Metazoa; Chordata; Mammalia; Carnivora; Canidae.
UCACGAGGCCAUCUGAGGGCAUCUGCAGAAUAUCCCAGCUCUGGAGAAAUGGUCGCUUCAUAUCCGAGGCAUAUGGGCUUUGUGUUCACCCAGAAGGACCUCACUGAGAUCAGGGACAUGCUGCUGGACAACAAGGUGCGAGCGCAGCUGUCCAUGCUGGUGGCAAAGCCCACAUGAAGUCACUGCACCAGCUUGGAGCAGCACAUGGAUCCAAAGAAGUCCUCUUCUUCCAGGCUUUGAAACCGCCCUUCCUCAACCCCCAGGAGAGCCCCUGAAAUACUGGGUGAUGUGCAACUGAGGAAGGUUGGAGACGAAGUGGAAGCUGGUAAAGCCAUCCUGCUGAAUACCUUCCCCUCUCCCUUGGGCUGAUCACCCAGCAGGUGUUUGACCAGGGCAGCACCUAUGACCCUGAAGGGCUUGGCCGCAUUCUCCCUUCCUGGGAGAGCUUUGCCGCGGUGCUAGCGUCUAUUUGCAGAUUGGUCAUCCCACUUUGCAUCAGCACCCUGUUCUAUGAGCAGGGGCUACAAGUGGGUUUCGCCUGUGUGGGAACUGAUCACACGUGCUACUUGCUGAAAAGGUCAAGGCCCCCGUGUCUGAUCCACCUACUCCUGCGGCCACGGCCACGGCCACUGCAGCUGCUCCAGGCAAGGUUGGGACAGAACAAGAGCCCGAGGAGUCAGGAGGACCCCAGGACAGCAAGAAGGAAGAUGUGUGGCAUCAGAUGAUUCUAAAUUCCCUAGGACAUACCUACUGGAGCUGCUGCUGAAAUCAGAGUUCCAGAUGCUCCUGUUCCCACCAUUAUGGCCUCACAGUUGCCAGGCAGAUUAAGGCGACAGAUCUCUUCUGUUUCCACUGCACGGGUUAGAACUGAGCUACGUGGCCACCGCCACCAGCAACACACGUUGAGAAAUUCAGUCUUGACUUCGAAUGCCCCUGUUGGUGGUGGCAAUUGAAAAAGCUAUUAAGACGUAAUGCUGUAUUCAAAUAUAAGUAGCAAGAGCUGUGCUCCACCUCCACCUGCCCUAAUUUUUGAAGACUGUCUCAUGUUCAUCAUCUUCCAAACUUGUGAAAGAACAAAUGAGUAUUCACCAAAUCCUUGUAAAGGUUUCCUACGAGGCGCCUGCGUGGCCCAGGUGGUUGAGCAUCCGACUCCUGGCUUCGGCUCAGGUCAUGAUCUCAGCGUCGGGCUCUGCUCCGGGCGCAGGCUGCUCGGGAUCGUCUCUCUCCUCUCUUGCCCUCCCCCCCAAAAAACUAAGUGAGUAAAUACAAUCUUUCAAAAAAACAACAAAAACAAAAAAAAUAAAAAAUUUUCUUAUAAUCAAGAACAUAGGAGUUUAUAGCAGAAUCUCGGAAUCUUACACUUUUCACCUCAUGAAACCUCUGUCUACCAUACAACGUGAUAGAAAACCCCAAAUAUUCAUGCAAAUUGGACAU